AUCCAGAUGACAAGUCAAAAAUAGAACGAAAUGCGCAUCCUGGAU
RNAcentral lists this non-coding RNA (45 nucleotides) under Trichobilharzia regenti. Lineage: Eukaryota; Metazoa; Platyhelminthes; Trematoda; Strigeidida; Schistosomatidae. The record is from RNAcentral.